Molecule: ribosomal RNA, 443 nt
Filed under: uncultured bacterium
Lineage: Bacteria
Description: partial 16S ribosomal RNA
Rfam family: Bacterial small subunit ribosomal RNA
Source: RNAcentral
CCUACGGGAGGCAGCAGUGGGGAAUAUUGGACAAUGGGGGGAACCCUGAUCCCGCGACGCCGCGUGAGUGAAGAAGUAUUUCGUUAUGUAAAGCUCUAUCAGCAGGGAAGAAAGAAAUGACGGUACCUGACUAAAAAGCCCCGGCUCACUACGUGCCAGCAGCCGCGGGAAUACGUAGGGGGCAAGCGUUAUCCGGAUUUACUGGGUGUAAAGGGAGCGUAGACGGCGAUGCAAGUCUGAAGUGAAAGGCGGGGGCCCAACCCCCGGACUGCUUUUGAAACUGUAUGGCUGGAGUGCAGGAGAGGUAAGUGGAAGUCCUAGUGUAGCGGUGAAAUGCGUAGAUAUUAGGAGGAACACCAGUGGCGAAGGCGGCUUACUGGACUGUAACUGACGUUGAGGCUCGAAAGCGUGGGGAGCAAACAGGAUUAGAUACCCGAGUAGUC